This 2876-nucleotide small RNA is filed under the name Pongo abelii (Sumatran orangutan). RNAcentral's name for it is "retained intron". Lineage: Eukaryota; Metazoa; Chordata; Mammalia; Primates; Hominidae. The record is from RNAcentral.
AAAAAAAAAAAAAAAAAAAAAAACAGAGAAGUCAAAUGGUUUUUUGGAAUAUGGUAGCCCUCCGUACCCAUCGGUUCCACAUGUGUGGUUUCAACCAACUAUGUAUUGAAAAUAAAAUUGCAUCCUUACAAAUAUGCAGACUUAUUUUCCUUGUCAUUGUUCCCUUAACAAUACAGUGUAACAGCUAUUUACGUAGCAUUUACAUUGUAUUAGGUACUAUGAGUAAUCCUGGAGUUGCUGUAAAACUUAAAUGUAAAACUGUAAAUGAGGAUGAUUUAAAGUAUAGAGGAGGAUGUGCAUAGGUUAUAUGCAAAUACUCUCCCAUUUUAUAUUAGGGACUUGAGCAUCCACGGAUUUUGGUAUCCGUGGGGUUCCUGGACCCAACCUGCCACGGAUACGCAGGGACGACUGUAUUUGGCAUAGAGGCCUUUCUAAUGCACUUACCAAGGACAGCCGCAGCAGGCUGUGAUCCCUGAGACAAGUGUGAGUUUAGUGAGGGUAGAGUUUUUGUUCUGGUUCUCAGCUGUGUCCCAGCACCUAGGAUUGUCCCUGGCACACAGUAGAUGCUUAGAAAAGAUUUGAUGAGAGGGUGACCAUACAUGAGGGGAAAUUUUCUUCAGUAUCAAAACAUGUUGAAACUCACACACUUCCAAGAUGAUGUAUUCUCAGGUCUCCUGCCAUUGCCGUUCUCUGCCUUAUGUGAUGGUGUUCUGUCUUACCAGAGGCUGUGGCCCUGAGAAAGAUCAUGUCUACCUGCAGCUGCACCACCUACCUCCAGAGCAGCUGGCCACACGCCUGCCUGGCAUUUCAGAGACAGCCAUGAUCUUCGCUGGCGUGGAUGUCACGAAGGAGCCGAUCCCUGUCCUCCCCACCGUGCAUUAUAACAUGGGCGGCAUUCCCACCAACUACAAGGGGCAGGUGAUGGUGCUGACUCCUCUCCCACAGCUGGAAAGAAGGCUGGGACGACGGGGCCCACCUCGCAGUUGUCUCUUUAGAUCUUACAGGAAAAGACAUGUUUCCUUCAAGAAAGUACUGUGUUGUUUUCUAGAUCGCACUUUAAAUUUCUAUUACUGGAGGAUGGAGGGGGCUUGAUAAUUUAUUCCUCCUUAGUAAAUUGUCAGAGAUACAUCAUUUGCAGCUUUUUCCAUUUUGUAAUUACUUUCCUAUAUGAUCCUGUGUUAUUUCUAAUGAUCUUGUACAUCGAGGGAUCUUUAUAAUUCAUUCCUUUGAGUGGUUUGCGGUUCACACAGAGCUUGUCAGUCACUUAGGCUCCUUGUUGGGCGAGGUGGGUGGAAGCUGUUGCUUUCCCUGCGUAGACGAAGAGGUGAACGGGGUAGAAGAGUCUGGAACAUCAGUCUCCCCUGCUGAUCUUCCUCCACCUGCCGUGCUCCUGGGUCUGAGCCGGAGCACAGGUGGUGAGGGCCCCGGGAACAUGGGACACGGGGGACAGUCGCAGAUGCUGACAUUGGAGGUCCUCUGACCUGCUUAUAACAGCAGGUGCUCAGGGGCAGAGGGGAAACUAGGGGAUACCUUCGGAAGCUUCCCUCUGAAGAAGAGUAGCUAUGGUCCUUACUUCCCUCUUAGAUACGGUAUUUACUUCCCUCUCUUUUUUUUCUUGGAGUUGCAGUCUCACUGUGUUGCUUCGGCUGGAGAGCAGUGGCACAAUCUCGGCUCACUGCAACCUCCGCCUCCCAGGUUCAAGUGAUUUUUCCACCUCAGCCUCCCUAGUAGCUGGGAUUACAGACACCCGCUAUCAUGCCCCGCUAAUUUUUGUAUUUUUAAUAGAGAUGGGCUUUCACUGUGUUAGCCAGACAGGUCUUGAAUCCCUGAACUCAGGUGAUCCACCCACCUCAGCCUCCCAAAGUGCUAGGAUUACAGGUGUGAGCCACCACGCCUGGCCUACUUCCCUCUCUUUCUCUGACCUGCAGCACAGACACCCUGUUGAGGGAGGUGGACUUAUGGAGGCAUGGGCACCUUGACAUUUCACCUGAAAUCUUCCUUUCCACAGGUCCUGAGGCACGUGAAUGGCCAGGAUCAGAUUGUGCCCGGCCUGUACGCCUGUGGGGAGGCCGCCUGUGCCUCGGUACAUGGUGCCAACCGCCUCGGGGCAAACUCGCUCUUGGACCUGGUUGUCUUUGGUCGGGCAUGUGCCCUGAGCAUUGAAGAGUCAUGCAGACCUGUCAAUGCAAAAUCAUGCUGCCGUGUUCCGUGUGGGAAGCGUGUUGCAGGAAGGUUGUGGGAAAAUCAGCAAGCUCUAUGGAGACCUAAAGCACCUGAAGACGUUCGACCGGGGAAUGGUCUGGAACACGGACCUGGUGGAGACCCUGGAGCUGCAGAACCUGAUGCUGUGUGCGCUGCAGACCAUCUAUGGAGCAGAGGCGCGGAAGGAGUCACGGGGUGCGCACGCCAGGGAAGACUACAAGGUGCGGAUUGAUGAGUACGAUUACUCCAAGCCCAUCCAGGGGCAACAGAAGAAGCCCUUUGAGGAGCACUGGAGGAAGCACACCCUGUCCUAUGUGGACGUCAGCACUGGGAAGGUCACCCUGGAAUAUAGACCCGUAAUCGACAAAACUUUGAACGAGGCUGACUGUGCCACCGUCCCCCCAGCCAUUCGCUCCUACUGAUGAGACAAGAUGCGGUGAUGACAGAAUCAGCUUUUGUAAUUAUGUAUAAUAGCUCAUGCAUGUGUCCGUGUCAUAACUGUCUUCAUACGCUUCUGCACUCCGGGGAAGGAGGAGUACAUUGAAGGGAGAUUGGCACCCAGGCUGGGAGCUUGCCAGGAACCCAGUGGCCAGGGAGUGUGGCACUUACCUUUGUCCCUUGCUUCAUUCUUGUGAGAUGAUAAAAUUGGGCGCAGCUCUUAAAUAUAAAUGAAC